UACGAAGGGGGCUAGCGUUGCUCGGAAUGACUGGGCGUAAAGGGCGCGUAGGCGGACUGCACAGUCAGGCGUGAAAUUCCUGGGCUUAACCUGGGGACUGCGUCUGAGACGUGUGAUCUAGAGUGAGGAAGAGGGUCGUGGAAUUUCCAGUGUAGAGGUGAAAUUCAUAGAUAUCGGGAAGAACACCGGUGGCGAAGGCGGCCUUCUGGCCCGAUACUGACGAUGAGACGCGAAAGAGUGGGGAGCAAACAGG
Molecule: ribosomal RNA, 253 nt
Filed under: uncultured bacterium
Lineage: Bacteria
Description: partial 16S ribosomal RNA
Rfam family: Bacterial small subunit ribosomal RNA
Source: RNAcentral